Long non-coding RNA from Ictalurus punctatus (channel catfish), 174 nucleotides. RefSeq lists it as uncharacterized. The transcript is spliced from 2 exons. The record is from RefSeq and is a predicted model, not a curated record. NCBI's taxonomy places the organism in Eukaryota, Metazoa, Chordata, Actinopteri, Siluriformes, Ictaluridae.
CCUGGAGGUGGAUGAGGAAGGACGGGACAAAGAGGAGAGUCAGGAGAAAGUGAAGUUUGGCACUAGAUUAACCAAUGGCACACUGGCCGAAGGAAGCAGAGCACUUGUCUCCCAAAUGCAAAUUCAACUAACUUCCCGACUCAAAUCGCACAGGAGGUUAUGACACAUUAGGGG